Microtus oregoni (creeping vole) is the source of this 171-nucleotide long non-coding RNA. RefSeq lists it as uncharacterized. Lineage: Eukaryota; Metazoa; Chordata; Mammalia; Rodentia; Cricetidae. The transcript is spliced from 4 exons. The record is from RefSeq and is a predicted model, not a curated record.
CUGGAGAGCUGAAACCAAUACUUAAGAAGUCUCUUCAGAUCAGUGGAGAUAAUGGAAGAAAUCAAGACCAAAUCCCACUCAGGCUCUCUGAAAACCCUCAUGUUACAACAGAGGACACGGCCACCACCUCUGCUAUUAAGGAGGAUAUUGACAACUCUUCCUCCAGGUACA